GUCUCCGUAGCUCAGUUGGUAGAGCAGCUGACUCUUAAUCAGCGGGCCACAGGUUCGAGUCCUGUCGGGGACACCA
Molecule: transfer RNA, 76 nt
Filed under: Chitinophagales bacterium
Lineage: Bacteria; Pseudomonadati; Bacteroidota; Chitinophagia; Chitinophagales
Description: tRNA-Lys
Rfam family: tRNA
About the family: Transfer RNA (tRNA) molecules are approximately 80 nucleotides in length. Their secondary structure includes four short double-helical elements and three loops (D, anti-codon, and T loops).
Source: RNAcentral